AAGCCAGCAUCAACGUCCCCAGUCAAGGACCUGCCCCAGUUUUAUGCCUGCUGGAGUUCUAGAGAAGCUGGAGUGCAAGCUGCCUUUCUCUUACAAGAGAUUCUGUUUGCUGGGAUCUGAGCAACACCGGCAGCACACUGUGACUGACUUCCCCCAGCCAAGUCAGCUGGAGCCCUGCUACUGAUUCCUGCAGAAUUCUGUGAGUUCCCUGCGUGUUCUUUAAAGGUAGAUAUCUCUAUAUUUUCUUAAUAUACAAUAAUAAUCUGAGUUUCAUACAGUGUGUUUUUGCC
Molecule: long non-coding RNA, 290 nt
Filed under: Meleagris gallopavo (turkey)
Lineage: Eukaryota; Metazoa; Chordata; Aves; Galliformes; Phasianidae
Description: lncRNA (ENSMGAG00000021152.1)
Source: RNAcentral